GUGGGGAAUAUUGGACAAUGGGGGGAACCCUGAUCCAGCCAUGCCGCGUGUGUGAAGAAGGCCUUUUGGUUGUAAAGCACUUUAAGCGAGGAGGAGGCUACCGAGAUUAAUACUCUUGGAUAGUGGACGUUACUCGCAGAAUAAGCACCGGCUAACUCUGUGCCAGCAGCCGCGGUAAUACAGAGGGUGCAAGCGUUAAUCGGAUUUACUGGGCGUAAAGCGCGCGUAGGUGGCCUAUUAAGUCAAAUGUGAAAUCCCCGAGCUUAACUUGGGAAUUGCAUUCGAUACUGGUUGGCUAGAGUAUGGGAGAGGAUGGUAGAAUUCCAGGUGUAGCGGUGAAAUGCGUAGAGAUCUGGAGGAAUACCGAUGGCGAAGGCAGCCAUCUGGCCUAAUACUGACACUGAGGUGCGAAAGCAUGGGGAGCAAACAGGAUUAGAAACCCUUGUAGUCC
Molecule: ribosomal RNA, 451 nt
Filed under: uncultured bacterium
Lineage: Bacteria
Description: partial 16S ribosomal RNA
Rfam family: Bacterial small subunit ribosomal RNA
Source: RNAcentral